GAUGAAUGCUGGCGGCAUGCCUUACACAUGCAAGUCGAACGGUAACAGGUCUUCGGAUGCUGACGAGUGGCGAACGGGUGAGUAAUACAUCGGAACGUGCCUAGUAGUGGGGGAUAACUACUCGAAAGAGUGGCUAAUACCGCAUGAGAUCUACGGAUGCAAGCAGGGGAUCGAAAGACCUUGUGCUACAAGAGCGGCCGAUGGCAGAUUAGGUAGUUGGUGGGAGAAAAGCUUACCAAGCCGACGAUCUGUAGCUGGUCUGAGAGGACGACCGGCAACACUGGGACUGAGACACGGCCCAGACUCCUACGGGAGGCAGCAGUGGGGAAUUUUGGACAAUGGGCGAAAGCCUGAUCCAGCAAUGCCGCGUGCAGGAUGAAGGCCUUCGGGUUGUAAACUGCUUUUGUACGGAACGAAAAGCCCCGGGUUAAUACCCUGGGGUCAUGACGGUACCGUAAGAAUAAGCACCGGCUAACUACGUGCCAGCCGCCGCCGUAA
This 498-nucleotide ribosomal RNA is filed under the name uncultured bacterium. Its description in RNAcentral is "partial 16S ribosomal RNA". It matches the Rfam family "Bacterial small subunit ribosomal RNA", at positions 28 to 523 of the family's 1533-position model. The record is from RNAcentral.